GACGAACGCUGGCGGCGUGCCUAAUACAUGCAAGUCGAACGCAGUGGGGACGGCUUAGUAACACGUCGGUAACCUCGCAUCAACGGGGAUAACACUUGGAAACAGGUGCUAAAUCGACACUGCUGGAUGGACUCGCGGUGCAUUAGCUAGUUGGUGAGGUAACGGCUCACCAAGGCAACGAUGCAUAGCCGACCUGAGAGGGUGAGCGGCCACACUGGGACUGAGACACGGCCCAGACUCCUACGGGAGGCAGCAGUAGGGAAUCUUCGGCAAUGGACGAAAGUCGGACCGAGCAACGCCGCGUGAGUGAAGAAGGUUUGCGGAUCGUAAAACUCUGUUGUUAGAGAAGCGGUAUCUAACCAGAAAGCCACGGCUAACUACGUGCCAGCAGCCGCGGUAAUAC
This 403-nucleotide ribosomal RNA is filed under the name uncultured bacterium. RNAcentral describes it as "partial 16S ribosomal RNA". It matches the Rfam family "Bacterial small subunit ribosomal RNA", at positions 28 to 526 of the family's 1533-position model. The record is from RNAcentral.